UACGUAGGGGGCAAGCGUUGUCCGGAAUUAUUAGGCGUAAAGAGCGUGUAGGCGGUCCGGUAAGUCAGCUGUGAAAGUCAAGGGCUCAACCCUUGAAAGCCGGUUGAUACUGUCGGGCUAGAGUCCGGAAGAGGCGAGUGGAAUUCCCGGUGUAGCGGUGAAAUGCGCAGAUAUCGGGAGGAACACCAAUGGCGAAGGCAGCACUCUGGGACGUGACUGACGCUGAGACGCGAAAGCGUGGGGAGCAAACAGG
Molecule: ribosomal RNA, 253 nt
Filed under: uncultured bacterium
Lineage: Bacteria
Description: partial 16S ribosomal RNA
Rfam family: Bacterial small subunit ribosomal RNA
Source: RNAcentral